GUGAAGGUCAAGGGGCGACCUGAGGGG
RNAcentral lists this small RNA (27 nucleotides) under Bombyx mori (domestic silkworm). RNAcentral describes it as "ovarian small RNA-17825". Lineage: Eukaryota; Metazoa; Arthropoda; Insecta; Lepidoptera; Bombycidae. The record is from RNAcentral.